CCUACGGGAGGCAGCAGUAGGGAAUAUUGCUCAAUGGGGGAAACCCUGAAGCAGCAAAGCCGCGUGGAGGAUGAAGGUUCUCGGAUUGUAAACCCCUUUUGUUAGAGAAGAUAAUGACGGUACCUAACGAUUACUCACCGGCUAACUCCGUGCCAGCAGCCGCGGUAAUACGGAGGGUGCAAGCGUUACUCGGAAUCACUGGGCGUAAAGAGCGCGUAGGCGGGAUAGCAAGUCAGAUGUGAAAUCCUCUGGCUUAACCAUAGAACUGCAUUUGAAACUGGUAGUCUAGAGUGUGGGAGAGGUAGGUGGAAUUCUUGGUGUAGGAGUAAAAUCCGUAGAGAUCAAGAAGAAUACUCAUUGCGAAGGCGGCCUGCUAGAACGUAACUGACGCUGAUGCGCGAAAGCGUGGGGAGCAAACAGGAUUAGAUACCCCGGUAGUC
This 440-nucleotide ribosomal RNA is filed under the name uncultured bacterium. Its description in RNAcentral is "partial 16S ribosomal RNA". It matches the Rfam family "Bacterial small subunit ribosomal RNA", at positions 338 to 795 of the family's 1533-position model. The record is from RNAcentral.